Molecule: ribosomal RNA, 798 nt
Filed under: uncultured Lentisphaerota bacterium
Lineage: Bacteria; Pseudomonadati; Lentisphaerota
Description: bacterial SSU rRNA
Rfam family: Bacterial small subunit ribosomal RNA
Source: RNAcentral
AGAGUUUGAUCAUGGCUCAGAACGAACGCUGGCGGCAUGGAUUAGGCAUGCAAGUCGAACGGUGAAAAGAGAGCUUGCUCUCUUGGAUCAGUGGCGAAAGGGUGAGUAACGCGCGAGUAAUCUGCCCUCAAGUUGGGAAUAGCCGUGGGAAACCGCGAUUAAUACCGAAUGUGGUAGUGAAUAUGCAUGUAUUUAUUACUAAAGAUUUAUUGCUUGAGGAUGAGCUCGCGUCCCAUUAGCUUGUUGGUAAGGUAACGGCUUACCAAGGCGAUGACGGGUAGGUGGUCUGAGAGGAUGGUCACCCACACUGGGACUGAGACACUGCCCAGACUCCUACGGGAGGCUGCAGUCGAGAAUCUUCCGCAAUGGGCGAAAGCCUGACGGAGCGAUGCCGCGUGUAGGAUGAAGGCCUUUGGGUCGUAAACUACUGUCACCGGGGAUGAAAUCUGACAGUACCCGGAGAGGAAGCCACGGCUAACUACGUGCCAGCAGCCGCGGUAAUACGUAGGUGGCGAGCGUUGUUCGGAUUUAUUGGGCGUAAAGGGUUCGUAGGGGGUUUGGUAAGUUUGAUGUGAAAAUUCAUGGCUCAACCAUGAACGUGCAUUGGAAACUGCCAGACUAGAGUAUCGUAGAGGAAAGCGGAAUUCCGGGAGUAGCGGUGGAAUGCGUAGAUAUCCGGAAGAACACCGAGAGCGAAGGCAGCUUUCUUGGCGAAGACUGACCCUGAGGGACGAAAGCGUGGGUAGCGAACAGGAUUAGAUACCCUGGUAGUCCACGCCGUAAACGUUGUGUGCUUGG